CCUACGGGUGGCUGCAGUGGGGAAUAUUGCACAAUGGGGGAAACCCUGAUGCAGCAACGCCGCGUGAGCGAUGAAGGCCUUCGGGUCGUAAAGCUCUGUCCUAAGGGAAGAAUACUGACGGUACCUUAGGAGGAAGCCCCGGCUAACUGCGUGCCAGCAGCCGCGGUAAUACGUAGGGGGCUAGCGUUAUCCGGAAUUACUGGGCGUAAAGGGUGCGUAGGCGGCCCUUCAAGUCAGAGGUGAAAGGCUACGGAUCAACCGUAGUAAGCCUUGGAAACUGUAGGGCUUGAGUGAAGGAGAGGGGAGUGGAAUUCCGAGGGUGGCGGUGAAAGGCGUAGAUAUUGGGAGGACAACCAAUUGGGAAGGGGGCUUUGUGGAUUGUAACUGACGCUGGGGCACGAAGGCGUGGGGAGCGAACAGGAUUAGAUCCCCCGGUAGUC
RNAcentral lists this ribosomal RNA (440 nucleotides) under uncultured bacterium. RNAcentral describes it as "bacterial SSU rRNA". It matches the Rfam family "Bacterial small subunit ribosomal RNA", at positions 338 to 795 of the family's 1533-position model. The record is from RNAcentral.